CUUUUAACUGUUUAAUUCAAUAAUAGCAAAACAGGGCUGGUAUCUCACCGAUGGCUGCUGGCUGCGCCAUCUCACAGGCCUUAUGAGGUUUGACUACAUACAGGUUUGUCCUGAACUAGAAGCAUCUUGAGAGAAGAGAAAACAAAUGGCUUUCCACACUAAAAGCUGCUGUGAACUGGAAUGCCUGCCACACUGGGCCUUGCCACAUUUAUCACUGUGGUGACCCUCAUCCAAAUGUGAUGUCUUUAGAGAUGAGAACAGGACAUGGUCUACCUGAUAGAAG
Molecule: long non-coding RNA, 283 nt
Filed under: Mus pahari (shrew mouse)
Lineage: Eukaryota; Metazoa; Chordata; Mammalia; Rodentia; Muridae
Description: predicted gene 16161 (MGP_PahariEiJ_G0002987.1)
Source: RNAcentral